AGAUUUGCGCAGUGGCGAUAUCGUAACCAAUGAGGUUAUACCGAUGUUCGAUUAUAGCUAAUUGAAAAAAUCCUAUUUAUUAGUGUAUCACAAGUGUUUCUACAAGGAAUUUAAAACCGUUUUGUUCUGAUAAUGG
Toxorhynchites rutilus septentrionalis is the source of this 136-nucleotide small nuclear RNA. RefSeq annotates it as U4 spliceosomal RNA. The transcript has a single exon. The record is from RefSeq and is a predicted model, not a curated record. NCBI's taxonomy places the organism in Eukaryota, Metazoa, Arthropoda, Insecta, Diptera, Culicidae.